Lycium barbarum (goji berry) is the source of this 2703-nucleotide long non-coding RNA. RefSeq lists it as uncharacterized. The transcript is spliced from 2 exons. The record is from RefSeq and is a predicted model, not a curated record. Lineage: Eukaryota; Viridiplantae; Streptophyta; Magnoliopsida; Solanales; Solanaceae.
UCGCUGAGCCACAGUUCUAUUUGGUGGAUUUCCCGGCUUGCAGUUUGGUCUCAGUUUUAGAACAAUAAGUCAGACCCACGUUGAUUUGCUAUUAAUUGGUUUUAUUCAGCAGCCUCUUUUGAAUUAAUCUUCAGUUCGCGUAGUUGUCGGCAGCAUAUAAAAAUUGACGGAUUAAUAUCACGUAUUCACGUAUUAAUCAUAAAAAAAGUGAAAAACUAGAUUUGUGGAUACUAAAGUGAUUGAAUUUAUUAAUAUAACAAUAUGGUUACCCAAGUUUUUGUCACAUUAAAGUAAUCGUAAUAAGAUCAGGAAAUUUGUCAACUAUAAUAGCAAGUCACCUUGAUAAAUAUCUCAUGAACUGAAUUUUACUCACUGUAAUAAUAAGAUCACAAAACUGCCAUUAAAACAGUAACUUCACCUUGUUGGAUAAGCUUUAAUCGUUACAAGACUUAUAGCGAUAAAAUCUAGUGACUUUACUGUAUAAAGAGUAUAGUAACUUUACCCUUAUAAUGUGUAAAGUUUACUUGAUUUAUUGUAACAAAAAGUACCUUUCCUAAUUUUAAUAUUAGUGACCCGUAGCGUCCUUGAUGAUUGCGUCAUUGUGCCUGGUCUUCGGGAACGCGGACACAGGUGGUGCAUGGCUUUUUUCGCCCUCAUGUCGCCACACGGGGGAAUUGUGACCUCUUGGGAGAAUCGAUGACUGCAUACAGAGGAUGCCAGUGUUAUCCGGAAUGAUUGGGCGUAAAGCGUCUGUAUUCUGGUGUCCUAGGCGUAGAGGAACCACACCAAUCCAUCCCGAACUUGGUAGAUUGAUUUUCCAAUCUCCAUUUUGCAAGUUGGUUAUUACGGGUAGUUUCUAUCUUCUUUUUUUACCAGAAAAACCCGAACUAUAUAAAUAGCCUCAGAGCUAUGGAACAAAGGAUUAUCUCAUUUUUUUAACGCCCUUCCUCGUCUCUGGAUGCCUAGGGAUCUACCGUAUGUAUAUGGGUACAAUUAUCUCUGGGGAAAGUGAUACCAUGAGCGCUUUAGGGCGCAAAAUAAAAUCUAUUCCAAACAUAUAUGCCAUGGUUCAUUACUUUAUAUUUUUGUAGGUUAUGUGUGGCUGAGCCGCUGAAGUUCCUUCUAUAAGUUUGUAGGUUGGGAGUUCUGAGGUCAUUACAGUGAUAUAUGUAAAAUUUUGCACAAAUAACACCGGACUAUUAUCACAAUGCAACUUACUGUGGUGAUUUUAAGAUUUUACUUUUUUGUUUCAAACUAUUUUCGAGCGGUAUCAACCGACAUUGUGCAUUUAGAAAACAUAUUAUUUACACUAAAGGGUGUCUGUACCACUCGUUUUUUGCUUUGUCUGUUGAUAGGCUGUUUUAAAGGAAAUUUCCAUGUAGCUGUUGCUCCUUCAGUAUGGUGACGGUAAUACAGAAUGUUUGAAUCAACACAGGAAUAUUGACUAUGCUCGUCUUAUAACCUGUCUAAGAAAUUUCUUUUUCAACCAAGAAUAUGGUUGUAGUUGUGUUAUGUUAUCAGCCUUCGCGCCAGUUUAAUAGAGGACUUAUACAAUUGUUGUUGCAGAAAACCUUAUUAUUACUCCCGCUGCUAGUUGAUGGAUCAAAGGGAGACACCAACGCACCUCUUUGUUGAAUGCCCAUGGGUAACCGAGGUGAGAAAGCGGCUGCCAACUUGGACAGGUUUUCAAUUCAGACAGUUAGAUGUGCAGCAGACGUUAAGGUGGUUGAAAAGAAGGCAUUGGAGCAAAUUGAAAAAGGAGUUACUAGCUGCAGUUUUUGGGGCUCUGAUUUACCAUACCUGGCAGGCUAGGAACUGGAAAAUAUUCAAAGAUAUCAAUGUAAAUAGCAGCUUUGUCAUUAGUCAGAUCAAGAAAGAGAUGAGAGAUAGACUGGUUACACUACAUAGAUCAAGGAACGAAGGGAGGAACCAAUACUUAAUAGAUAGAAUUUGUAAUUAGUGCUUGUUUCUUUUUUGGUUUUAAUUGAGCCUAGGACUUCCUGGAAGGUGGUUGUAGUCCUAGGUGCUCUUUAGGUUGUAAAUAUUUGGUUGUUAAUGGUAAUAUUCACAGUUGUUACCAAAAAAAAAUAAAAAAUUGAAGUUUCUUGUUUUGCAAAAAUUUGUUUAUUAAAAAAAAAAAAUACUGUCUAUCUUUCCCUUUGUGAGGAAGGCCAUUUAAAAGUCAAUAAUCAGAACAUAGUUUAGAAACAAGAACCAGCGUCAAGUCUGGUAUGUUAUCAAUCUUCACAAUCUUGAUAGUUUUUACUAUUUUUGUUCUGAAAAACUGGUUCAAGUGUCACCAGACAACAUUGGUCAUUUAGGCAUUAUUCCAGAUGAGAAAAUGGCCCAAGACUUUGGUUCCUAAUAAUUGCAUAGUAUAUAAGUGAAGGAUACAAGCGCAGGUCCACCGAGUAUCGAACUGCACAUUAGCUGAGCCUCGAAAAUACCUCAGUUAUCAAAAGUUAAUAAUAAUAAUAGAAGUUUUGAACUGUGUGAGGAAGAACAUGAAAAUUCCGAAAUGCAAGCACUUCCGCUCAGGAAAAAGGUGAAUCAUGUCAUCACAAGUACAGUUCAACAAUGAGCUAACAGAAAUAGUAAGUUAAUUGAACAAACCGUGAAGCAUCCUUGUCUAUUUACAGAAAACCAAGAAAGGGAAGGUCCAAGCACAUGAAAAACAGGUGAUUAAUUCAACAACAAACAUAC